CCUCUGCCUACAAAUAGUUCCAAAGUUAACCCAGGAACAGAGAAACAAGCUUCAGAGAGUUCCUGUUUUCCUGCUCCAAAGUGAUGACUGAAUAGAAACUAUGUUGACUGGUCCUCACAGGUGAUGGAAGAUUUGGUGGAAGAGAGGGAGAGAAACAGGAAACUGAGGAAGGCAGAUGAAAGAGGAAAUGUGGAGAGGAACAGAGAAGGAAAGGGAGAUGAAGUGGAAAAACAGGAGGCCCAUGUGCGUUGCUUAGCCUCUCACCAUGUGCAGGAAUGCAGCUCGUACCUAUGUGAUAAAGUGUUUGGCUGCCAAAGACUGGAUGCUGAACCCAGAUAGCAUGGAGUGGCAAAAGCAAUUUGCAACCAAUUAGCCUCAGACCACACGGACAUGCUUCAAGUCCAAC
This is a long non-coding RNA of Lampris incognitus (smalleye Pacific opah), 406 nucleotides long. RefSeq lists it as uncharacterized. The transcript has 3 exons. NCBI's taxonomy places the organism in Eukaryota, Metazoa, Chordata, Actinopteri, Lampriformes, Lampridae. The record is from RefSeq and is a predicted model, not a curated record.